UUAUUGCUCAAGUAACACGUGGACAACCUACCCUGUGGAGGGGGAUAACCCCGGAAAACUGGGGAUAAUACCCCAUAGGUUAGGGUGGCUGGAAUGCCCCCUAGCUCAAAGGUCCGCCGCCACAGGAUGGGUCUGCGGCCGAUUAGGUUGUUGUUGGGGUAACGGCCCAACAAGCCUUUGAUCGGUACGGGUUGUGGGAGCAAGAGCCCGGAGAUGGAUUCUGAGACACGAAUCCAGGCCCUACGGGGCGCAGCAGGCGCGAAAACUUUACAAUGCGAGAAAUCGUGAUAAGGGAACCCCGAGUGCCCGUAAAUUCGGGCUGUCCGCCAGUGCAAAAAACUGGUGAAGAAAGAGCCGGGCAAGACCGGUGCCAGCAGCCGCGGAAAUACAAUAAA
RNAcentral lists this ribosomal RNA (395 nucleotides) under uncultured archaeon. RNAcentral describes it as "bacterial SSU rRNA". It matches the Rfam family "Archaeal small subunit ribosomal RNA", at positions 83 to 482 of the family's 1478-position model. The record is from RNAcentral.